Molecule: transfer RNA, 65 nt
Filed under: Cyclommatus strigiceps vitalisi
Lineage: Eukaryota; Metazoa; Arthropoda; Insecta; Coleoptera; Lucanidae
Description: tRNA-Tyr
Rfam family: tRNA
About the family: Transfer RNA (tRNA) molecules are approximately 80 nucleotides in length. Their secondary structure includes four short double-helical elements and three loops (D, anti-codon, and T loops).
Source: RNAcentral
GAUAAGAUGGCUGAGGUUAAAGCGGUAAGCUGUAAACUUACUAACGGAAAUUUUUUUCUCUUAUC